RNAcentral lists this long non-coding RNA (314 nucleotides) under Androctonus crassicauda. The record is from RNAcentral. Lineage: Eukaryota; Metazoa; Arthropoda; Arachnida; Scorpiones; Buthidae.
CCUGGUGUCCGCCGCGGGGCAGGUGUCGUGCUGCACCCUCACAGUACUAGAGGUAAAGGUGAAGGUACGCCAACACGAGAGUGACACUAGGCCAUAUGCACCAUACAUACUAUCCAGAAGUAAAUAAGCUGAUACGGAAAUAUACUAGACAAGGAAAGUAUAAGAUAGCCCUUAAACGGGCCCCCACUCUCUUUAAUCGUAUACGAAAUGAUAAAGAUCCAGUCCCGAAGGAUAGGAGGGCCGGAAUCUACACCAUUCCUAUAUAUAAUGAAGACGAAGAUAGACAACAGUUUUAUGUAGGAAGUACUGGCAGG